UGAGUACGAGAUGCUACGGCAUCGAAGCAGUCUAUGUCAUACUUCCAAGAAAAGCUUGCACUGUCAGAAACAGAUAAUGCCUGUACCAUAACCGACACAGGUGGGUAGGUAGAGUAUACUAAGGGGCGCGAGAUAACUCUCUCUAAGGAACUCGGCAAAAUGACUCCGUAACUUCGGGAGAAGGAGUGCCUUAUUUUUAAGGUUGCAAUAACAAGAUCCAAGCAACUGUUUACCAAAAACACAGGUCUCCGCUAAGUCGUAAGACGAUGUAUGGGGGCUGACGCCUGCCCAGUGCCAGAAGGUUAAAGAAGUCGGUUAGCAUUCGCGAAGCUGGUAACUGAAGCCCUGGUGAACGGCGGCCGUAACGAUAACGGUCCUAAGGUAGCGAAAUUCCUUGUCGGGUAAGUUCCGACCCGCACGAAAGGCGUAAUGAUUUGGAUACUGUCUCGGAGAGGGGCUCGGUGAAAUAGACUUGUCUGUGAAGAUGCGGACUACCUGCACCUGGACAGAAAGACCCUAUGAAGCUUUACUGUAACUUGAAAUUGAAAUUGGACUUUAUUUGCGCAGUAUAGGUGGGAGGCGUUGAAAAUAUUCUUGCGGGAAUAUUGGAGCCAUCAGUGAGAUACCACUCUUGUAAUGUUAGAUUUCUAACUUUAUAUCAUUAUCUGGUUAAAGAACAGUUUCAGGCGGGCAGUUUGACUGGGGCGGUCGCCUCCCAAAUGGUAACGGAGGCGCACAAAGGUUUCCUCUGAACGGGUAGAAAUCGUAUCUAGAGUGUAAAGGCAUAAGGAAGCUUGACUGUGAGACCUACAAGUCGAGCAGGGACGAAAGUCGGUCUUAGUGAUCUGACGGUGCUGAGUGGAAAGGCCGUCACUCAACGGAUAAAAGUUACUCUAGGAUAACUGGCUGAUCUCCCCCAAGAGUUCACAUCGACGGGGAGGUUUGGCACCUCGAUGUCGGCUCAUCGCAUCCUGGGGCGGUAGUACGUCCCAAGGGUUGGGCUGUUCGCCCAUGAAAGCGGUACGCGAGCUGGGUUCAGAACGUCGUGAGACAGUUCGGUCCAUAUCCGGUGUAGGCGUUAGAAUAUUGAGAGGAGCCUUCUUUAGUACGAGAGGACCGAGAAGGACAUACCUCUGGUGUACCAGUUAUCGUGCCAACGGUAAACGCUGGGUAGCUAUGUAUGGAGUGGAUAACCGCUGAAAGCAUCUAAGUGGGAAGCCCACCUCAAGAUAAGUAUUCUCAU
This 1243-nucleotide ribosomal RNA is filed under the name metagenome. RNAcentral's name for it is "bacterial LSU rRNA". It matches the Rfam family "Bacterial large subunit ribosomal RNA", at positions 1564 to 2817 of the family's 2925-position model. The record is from RNAcentral.